GUAUUUGAAUUAAGUAUUCAUACAGGUUUUCAGACAAAGUGGUUCAAGGUUAUAGGUUGGUGUAGGUGUUUCUCCGAAAAGAAACACAACAUUGCACACAAGGUGAGUACUAUUUUUAAAAAGUGCAGUAGAACACUUAUUAUGAAUGAUCCUUCCGCAGGUUCACCUACGGAAA
This 175-nucleotide unclassified non-coding RNA is filed under the name uncultured fungus. RNAcentral's name for it is "sequence contains ITS1". The record is from RNAcentral. Lineage: Eukaryota; Fungi.